AAAGUGUUGAUUAGAAGCAAUCACACACGGCCACUUCAUCAAUCCGUCACGAAAUUACUCUCACCACCCACUCCACCGCCGCCAUUUCACAUUCUACACAAAUCUCCGCCGCAUCUCUCAUAUCCCCGGCGAACCCCCUUUCUCGAUUUCACUUUUCUCCCAAUUCAAUCCAACAAUGCAAGCUGACAAAAACGACAGCGUCGCUGUUCAAGAAGAACCUUCUUCCUCUUCGAAUUCCCACACUGCCAUUGACCCUCUCGCAAAAAGCUCUGAAGUUUUGGCAAAAGGCUUGUCGUCGAUGCUGUCCACUGUCAUCAAGGAAUUCGAUGUCAAAGCUCAGCAAACUCUCAACAGCCAGGACCAACUCUCUUCCGCCAUUGAUCGUCUCACUCGAGGUUACGUUUCGUUCAAUCUUUUAUAUGUUCAAAUUUCAACAUUACCAAUUAUGUUAUCCAUUAAUUGUGUAAAACUAAAACCUCAUUUUCAUCAAUUUAGUCUUGAGAAUAUAAAACCGUUGAUUUGGUCCAUGACUUUGCAUACUUUCCGUCAAUUUAUACCUUUUUCGGAUUUGUAUGAUUUUUGUUGUUGCAAGAGUUCGUAAUCUCAGGAAUCAAAUUUACCGGUGAAUUCGAUCUUAGGGACCAAAUUGAUGUUUAUUAAUGUCUAAAUAUUAACUGCAUUAUUUAUUUUAUCAUUUGGUGUGUUAAGAGAUUCCACAGGGCAGGUGUUCCCUAACUGUAGGACCUGAACCGGCGAGUUUCUAGGGCCCAAAUUCCGCUUGUUAGAGUUCCACAAGGGCCUGUCUGCGAGUUAAUUUUAAAAGGUGAGGGAAGGAAAAGGGAAGACUUGAGAGUGCUCUCCAAAGUCUUUCAUUUACCUCUAUUGCAUUCAAAAAACUAACUCACAAAUAUACCCUAAGUGCUUUAGAAUAUGGUGUAGAACCUAAUCCCUGCUCGGAGUCUCCGCAUGAUUAUACAGUCUCUCUAUGUGUAACUUAGCAGGAAUAACCUCAGAUGGGUAGUUAUCUAUAAUGACUAAAUGGCAGUUCAUAAGCUAUGGAUCUAUCUUAAUCUAUUAAUCUGGUUAUAUUAUGGAUCAUGCAUUUAGGAGGGAUCUCUUAGGUUUUUAAAUUAAGUGACUCGGGUUCUCCUUAUUGGGCAUUAAUGGCAGGCAGGCUUGACACGGAGAGUAACAUCAACAAUUUUUUUAUAAAUUCGAUUUAUAUAAUAUAGACCUACUAUUAUAAUGUUUGGUUUCUAAGGUGGUCUUUGGUAUGCUGGAACCUAUUGAAAUAGAAAGUAGCAUAACAACGAUAGAGUGGGGAUGUUCUGUUAUGUUCUCUUUGGUUCCAUCACUUUUUAUGUUACCAAAAAAUCCUACAUUUAACCCAUUGGUCCAUCAUGUUCUAUUUAUAAAUGCACCAAACAUAGAGUAGAGUCCAUUUAGGAAGCACAAAUAGUGAUGCACGGAUAUGACACAAUACAAAUACAUUGAUAUGGAUUGGAUGAGGAAGAAAGAAGAAUGCGUAAUUCUUGAAGAUGCAUAGUCUUACUGUACACAAUGUUUUGGUUGGGUGUGACACAAUGUUUGAUUUAUAUGAUGAAUUUCUUAGCAGGAACGUGAAGUUCGGAAGAAAGUAGUUGUACUAUUGGGAAAGUAACAGUUCUAGUCUUCACUUUCUUAUAAUACUUGUAACUUUUUAAACGUUAUUUCAAGGUUAAAGAAGUCAAGAUGCAUCUGCUAUUGGCUUGCUUUUCCCUCUUCUUGAUUUUUUCAUUUAAUAAUAUAUAACCUUAAAGAAAAAGGUGGAAAUCCUGGAGAUAGUCUCUAUAUUUGUGAGGAUAAGACUGCAUACAUCUUCCAUUCUCAGAUCCCACUAAGUGGAAAUCUCGUACACUAGGCUGCCAUUUUUAAAGAAAAGGUGGAAAUUAUUAUGACUUACUCAACUUGGAAUAAGGUUCUCUUUUGUGGUUCUCCUCUCCCAAGUUAAAUUAUUGGAUGCUUGGAGCUAGUGCCUGCAAAUGAUGAUUCUGGUGUUGAUUAGGUAUGAUUGGUCUGGUUUAACCAUCAUAAAAAAUAUUCAUACAUUGAAAUUAGGAGGUUAUGGUAGCAAGUUAUGUGGUUAUGGUAGCAAGUUAUGUGGUUAUGGGCAAGUCCUAUGAGGGAUCAUUUAAAAGCUUCCUGGCUUGGGAGUAUUUACUAAGAAGUGUGAAUGUUAAGUUGAAGUAACACCUAGGACUUGACAUAUUUAUUUUUAAAGAAGACAUUUCAUUCCGUCUUAUUAGGUUAAGUAAUUUAUGUAUUAGGAACUGGAUCAAAAGGGAAGAAACUGUAGAAGAAAAGAAAGAAAGUUGCUUUAUUGAUGAAAUCUUAGGGAAAUGGAUACCCUAGUUGAGAGAGAAUGAAUACAACCAAUGCCUAACCCUUCGGGAAUGUUUGAGAGGCAUUGGUGUCUCCCAAUAACUUUACCACUUUCUAACCGAAUAUCCCUCUUCCCUCUCAUCUCUACUUAUAUCUUCUAACAACUAACACAGUUUCUCAGCCUAACUAACUAACUACCGACCUGGGUCAGAUCCUGGCCCAUUCCUCCUAUAUACAUUUCUAAUAAGAGGUCUAACAGCCUAACAUUAUGCUGGAAAUUAUAAGGUCUAGUACUAUAGUAUAGCAAGUUUUAUGAGAGACGCAUUUCUUAGUCUCCUGUAUACCUAAGAAUAUGGAUGUUAAUUAAUAUAUUUUGAAAUUACAAAAACAACUUUGCUACUAAUAUGUGUCUCUACUGCUCCUGCAUCACAUGAAGUGUGAAUGCUACACAGGAAUACUAAGUUUAUUGGCAUAGAAUGCCAAAUAGAUAGUUUUAUGAGAGAUGCAUCUAUUAAUCUUCAGGCUUAUCAGUAAUAACCUAAAUUUGGGUUGUUUUUUUAAUUAAAAUAUUCUUUGGUUAUAGGUCUGAAGACUACAUUUAAGUCUUUUUGAGUAGCUUCACCAAUAAUUUAUCUUAGUCUCCUUUUACCUCCAGGUUAUCACCCACUUCGUCUUAUCUACUCUUUAGAUUGAGGCUUUUAAUGCUCUUCUGUCAUGGUUAGACUAUCUAAGUUAAGAUUUUAUCUUCUUUUCCGUAUUGUCUCUAUUGUAGCCAUUCCUAAUCCUAUAUUGUCUUGUAUGUUUUCUCAUCUAACACAAUAUCCCAUCAUCUUUACAAUGCCGAGCUUGUGCUCAUAUUGCAGCCCUUCUUAAUCCUAUUUUGUUUUUAUUGUCUCUUAUGACUACCCAUCCAACACAAUAUCCCAUCUCUACAACAUGGAGCUUAUGCUCCUAUUGUUUCUUACUGCCUAGCAUUCAGUACCAUACAGGAUCAUGGGUCUUAUGGUUGUAGCAAAUUGCUUUAUAAGGUUAAGAGGAGAUCACAAAUAACACUUGAUGCACUUCAUUUCUUUCACCAUCUUGAAUCCUAUUGUUCCAUGAUUUCUCCAUCACUUUGGCAUUUAUGUUCAGUUAAAAAGGUAUUCAAAAUUAAAUCUAGUUAGACCUACUUAUUAAUUAGCCAUCCAACUCAUCGAUAUAAAUUUAAAUGGUGUAAAAUUUAAAAUUGCUUCCCUUACCAAACAAAAUAUAGUUAUUCGGUUUAACAUCAAUAUUUAUUUCUACUUAUGAAGCACACACACAUGACAUGAUAUCGAUACAAUGACACAAGUGUCGGUAUCAGGCAUGUGCCCAGCAUAGGCAUAACACCAAUAUGUUGUGUCCGGCAGUGUUUUGUAUCUUUCCACUAAUUCACAGAUGCUUCCAGUAAGUCAUUGUAGCUCUCAGAAUUGUUAAGAUUAAAAACUUUAUUAAGCAGAUAAAAUAUAUGUAUUAUUACAUCAAUAGAAUAAAAAUCAAGAUUCGAUAUGGCCCAAUGACCUGAGUUAGUUAUUGGGUUGGACUUGCAAACUGUUGGAAAAGCAAACACAAUAACUCUCUGACCAAAUUAACCUCCAAGCUUCAAAAUCCUCUUUGGAAAUCCCUUGCACUUGAAACUCCAAGCUGCUAACAAAGUGGAUGGGUAUUCGCAGUCCUUUAUGUACAAAAUUAACUUACAAUUCAUUAGGUGCUUGUGCUGUUGUUCUCAAGUAAAAAUGUUUAACAGCUCAGUAAAGAAAACAUAAAUGUGUAAAACGACAAUACUGGGUUUUAUGUCUUUAUUGGAAAAAACAGUACAAACACCCAAAAUGUUCCUAAGUUCUGUCAUUUUAUUUUACUUAUUUAGUUGUUGCGAAGGAAAAAAUGAUUAUGACGAAAGAAAAUGAGAAAAAAAAUGAUUUGUAUGCCUUAUACAAUUUUGAAACCCAGCAAAAGACUCAGACGACCCAUAACUUAAAUUCACUGCCUUGCUCUAGCCACAUUUCGGAAUGAUGGAUCAGCAUGAUCUACUGUCCAUCAAAUACAUUAAUUUGAUUUAGGAAUUCCAGACCAUUAAAAACCAGUACACUAAUUGAUGGAAUGGAUUGAAUAUGUCUAGUUAGGCUGGAUGGAUAACAAGGCCACAGAUCAUUUGGCCAGCCCUAGGUUUUUUUAUAUGCAAAGUUUUUUGACGGGAAGGAGGGAGAGGAUAAAUUGUGCAGUUGCCAGGGUUUGAACUGAGGUGCUCACACUUUAUGUCCCUCGGCUCUACCAAUUGAGCUGAAUCUAGAGGACUUUGGUCAGCCCUAGGUGACAUGCUGUAAUUUCAUUUUAGCUAUGCUUAACAUUAUUGCCUCUGCUAAAGCUUCUUCUAUUGAUCUAGGAUGACAUAUAUCUUUUAUUUUCACAUAACUUGAUCAAUUACUUAACAUAUAUCUUUUAUUUUCACAGAACUUGAUCAAUUACUUCACAUAUAUCUUAUAUUUUCACAGAACUUGAUCAUUUACUUGAAGCUUGUUCUGUUUAUCUUGGAUACCAUUAUCGCUGACCUGAAAUAUAUCUUUUAUUUUCGUAGAACUUGAUCAAUUACUUGAAGAUGCACCUUUGCCAUUCAUAAUGCAGCAUUCAGCCAAGAUUUCGAGUGUUAGGAAAAGAGUUUCAUCGCUGAAUUCACUUCUAAAAUCCAUACAAGGGCGGGUUGAUAAUAUAGACCGCAUGCUGUCAAUUGGCACCACUCAUGGUAUAUACAAGUCUCCAGGGGCCUAGUUUUAGUUAUUUUCUAAUAACUAUUAAAUAUUACACUAUUAAUAUUAGGAAAAAAUAUUUCCCCCGUAUAUAUGCUCUCUCCAGUCAGUAUACAAUUUUAAAGUGGUCAACUCUGACUAGUUUUGUUACUGUACUAUUCCUAAAAGGUUCUAGAUUAUGUGACUAGUCAUUCUUACAUGUUUCAACAUGGCAAAAUCUAAAUUUAUGGCACAUGAGUCGAUGGUUUAAGUGGACCUAUUGUUACUCCUUUUUCACCGCGGGUAAAGCUUCUAUGGUCAAACGAUUUCAAAUUGUUCUUAUAUCAUAUAUUUUUUACUUAUUAUUAUUUGUACAUUACCUUAUUUUUAGUUUUAGUAGUUUAG
Molecule: long non-coding RNA, 5507 nt
Filed under: Lupinus mutabilis
Lineage: Eukaryota; Viridiplantae; Streptophyta; Magnoliopsida; Fabales; Fabaceae
Description: partial ncRNA
Source: RNAcentral